This 649-nucleotide ribosomal RNA is filed under the name Alexandrium minutum. RNAcentral describes it as "partial large subunit ribosomal RNA". It matches the Rfam family "Eukaryotic large subunit ribosomal RNA", at positions 79 to 660 of the family's 3401-position model. The record is from RNAcentral. Lineage: Eukaryota; Dinophyceae; Gonyaulacales; Pyrocystaceae.
CUUAGUAAUUGCGAAUGAACAAGGAAAUGCUCAGCUUGAAAAAUGGGGCCUUUGGCUUUGAAUUGUAAUUUUGAAAUGUAUUGCCAAUGGAGGCGCAGGUGCAAGCCUAUUGAAAGAAAGCGUCAAUGAGGGUGAGAUUCCUUUUUGUCAUUUGCAGUCCUCCGUGCACGGUAUAUAUUUGACGAGUCACACUCCUCGGCAUUGGAAUGCAAAGUGGGUGGUAAAUUCCAUGUAAAGGUAAAUAUAUUAUUGAGACUGAUAGCAAACAAGUACCAUGAGGGAAAUAUGAAAAGGACUUUGAAAAGAGAAUUAAAAGAGUCUGCAUUUGCUGAACAGAAAGCAAACAGAAUUGAUUUUACUUGGUGAGAUUGUUGUGCUUACUCUAUCAUUUAUAUGGUUGAUGUGGGUGCGAUGGUUCUUACCUUGAAUGUCAGCUUCUAUUUCUGCAAAUCAUUACCCUUGCACAUGAAUGGUAAUUUGCCUGCGGGUAUUGGAAUGCAUGUGUUUGCAAUGAUUUGUGAUUUGACGCAUGUGUUUGGUGAAAUUUGUAUAUGCUCUUUUGUCGAAGGGGAAAGCUUACUUUUUUGAGCAUUGCAAGCCCUUACACAUCAGUGCUGGCAAAAUGUUUCUGCUUGACCCGUCUUGAAAC